This 97-nucleotide ribosomal RNA is filed under the name uncultured bacterium. Its description in RNAcentral is "partial 16S ribosomal RNA". It matches the Rfam family "Bacterial small subunit ribosomal RNA", at positions 1386 to 1482 of the family's 1533-position model. The record is from RNAcentral.
CACACCGCCCGUCACACCAUGGGAGUGGGUUGCACCAGAAGUAGCUAGUCUAACCGCAAGGGGGACGGUUACCACAGUGUGAUUCAUGACUGGGGUG